CUUUAUGCAAAUAGACUUCAAAAGCACUUUCGAAACGUCAUUAUAGAAAUUAAAAUUUUAAAUUUGCUUAAAGUGAAGUUUCGUAACGCGAGGAGGUUCUC
This is a long non-coding RNA of Melitaea cinxia (Glanville fritillary), 101 nucleotides long. RefSeq lists it as uncharacterized. Lineage: Eukaryota; Metazoa; Arthropoda; Insecta; Lepidoptera; Nymphalidae. The transcript has 3 exons. The record is from RefSeq and is a predicted model, not a curated record.